CGAGUCGGGAGUGCAGCCCGACUCAGAGUCUGUCUGGUCCCUCCGCCCCCGCAUUACUUGCCUCCUAUCGGAACGCCUUUCUGGCUUUCUAAGCGUGGACUUCAUUUGUUCAUGGCUUUAACUAACACUUAAACGUGUUCAUUCUUUCUCUUCUAUGUAAAUAUGUGGAGUGAGGGAAGGGAGGAGAGAAGCCGAGAUGCAUUGGAUCUUAGAAUGGUUGUCUCUCUGGCCACACUGGCCCACCCAUCAGAGCACCGGGCGCUUCAUGAAGACCUUUCUCAUGUACCGCUUAGCUUGUCUUUACAACAUCCCUAGGAGAAGCAUGGACAGUUGUUGGCCAGACUGGGGAUUGUUGAAGCAAAGCCAAAUGACAAAAUGGCAAAGCUGCCUUCUUAGCAUGGGCCAGCCUGUGGAUUUUUCUGAACGCAAACCCAUCUCACACGACCUUAAACCCAGUGUUCUGCCAACCUUGACAGUCUACAGAGUCUACUCCUCUGUAAGAAACCUCCCACACUGCUGGGAGGAAUCUGCAAUCACAACUUUAUUGUAAACAAUGCUUUCAGAUGAUGUCUUUUUUUUGUUUGUUUUUUUCGAUACAGGGUUUCUCUGUGUAGCUUUGGAGCCUAUCCUGGCACUCGCUCUGGAAACCAGGCUGGCCUCGAACUCACAGAGAUCUGCCUGCCUCUGCCUCCCGAGUGCUGGGAUUAAAGGCGUGGACCACCAACGCCCGCCUAGAUGAUGUCUUAACAUCCCUGAGAGCAUUUCAAUUUAAAGCCUGAGUCUUGGUUAGGGUUCCUACUGCUGUGAUAAAACAUAGUGACCAAAAGCAAGCUUGGGGAGGAAAGGGUUGUUUUGCUUACUCUUCCAUAUCACAGGGAGUCCUGGCAGGAACCCCAGGCAGGAACUGAAGCAGAGGCAGAGCCGGAGAAGGAAUGCUGCUUACUGGUUUAGUUCCCUACUUAGUCUGCUUUCCUACAUGGUCCAGGACACCUGUCCCGGGGUGGCAUGGCUCUCAGUACACUGGGCCCUUCCACACCAGUCUUAAUCCAAAGAAUGUAUUACAGAUUUGCCUCAAGACAAUCCAAUAGACAUUUUCUAAAUUGAAGUUCCUCUUCCCAGUAACUAACUCUAACUUUGGCUUGUGUCAAGUUGUCAAAAAAAAAAAAAAAUUCUCAGGGGCAAUCAGUAAGCAGAUUUCAGCAUAAAUGGUUCAAACGGAAAGGUCAUUGUGAUGAAGCUCCUGGAGCAAGGGCAGGGGUAAAGAACCAGGGAACUUGAUAUAUCUAGUAUCUGGCAACAGCUGGAAACAGACCACCAAUAGAGUUGCAGGAGGGCUGAGAAAAAUGCCCCCCUUAAACUGUUCAGAGCCACUAACCCUGAAGGGUGUGUUUGCAUCUGUCAGGUGAGGGAUUCCAGGAAAGGCUCAGAACUGCUAUCGAUCCAAAGGGAACUUCAAGGGUGUGGGAGUGGGGUGCCAAGUGAGCAGGACAGAUUUCCCCUCCGUGGCCACACACCACCUUCUUGAGGGCCCGAAGGGCACUUGCAGCAUAUGUGUUCUGAGACAGGUCACAUACAUUUCUCCCAACAUAUACUGGAGAGCGACCAUGAUCAUAAACUAUGAAGACAAAGCACUAGCAGGGUGACACACACCUAUAAUCUCAGCACUUUGGAGGUGACUGCAAGAGGAUCAGGGGUUCAAGGUCAUCGCUACCUUAUCUGUGCAAGGAUGGCUGAUAAUGGGUGUGGCAGGAGUUGGAUAGCUGAUAGUCAAACAUAUCCCACUGUGACCUGGGCCAAGGGUCCUGACAUCUGUGCACCUCUGCCCCAGGAGGCUGGACUGUCUUCUCUGUCUCAGAAAAGGGGAGACAGGGAAGCCCCUUAGGAGCUGCCUAGAGACAACACCUCCCACAGUGGUCUGGACCCUUCUACAUCAAUCAUUAGUCAAGAAAAAGCCCCUACAGACAAGCCCACAGGCCAAUCUGAUAAAGGAGUCUACUGUGGAUACUCACCCAGAUGGGUUGGAUUGAAAAGCAAAGGCAAGAAUGCAAACAUUCCCCACCCAAGGAACUGGAAGACUACCACCUGGACCAGAAGAUAGAAGAUGUCUCUCCAGACAAAUUGAGAGCAGAUUCACCCUUCUUAAAUGGCUCUUUCAUCACCUCCAGGUCAAGUGAGGUCCUUGGAGCAGCCUUUGAGGACAGCUGGAUCCUGCUGAAAUGUCAGUGGCUCACCAAUCAGCUGCCUGGCCUUGGACAAACCUGGGCCUCAUCUAUGAAAUGGCCAAGGAGCUGAAACAGAUGGAGAGGAACUCACUCAAGGUCACACAACUGGCUAGCAAGAGAGCCAGGCAGCCUGCUUCUCAUCGGCAGUCUCGGAGAAUGAGUCAAUGAAUUCGCAAACGAGGAAGCAAGGAAGCAUCCACGGAACUGUACCCGUGUUGAAGGGUCUGACCGGCUGACACUGGUGAGGAUGGCAUUAAUGUUGAUGGAGAUGGUAAGGAAGACAUCCUCCCCAGCCCCUCUGCUUCCAGCUCUCCCGUGAGAGUGCUUUGUUCAGGCACAAGCAUGAAGCAGCCGAUGUUGGGGGAAGAGUCCGGAACUCUGGCUUGCCUCGUGGCAGCCUUCGAUAAACCCUUUGUCCUCUCUUGGCCUCACCCACUACAUACAAGGGAUGGCUAGUGAAAUCAGACUUGGGAGGCCGUUCAGCUUCCACGCCUCAAGCCUCUCCUUUCAGAUGAAGCAAAAAGCAAGAGGCUGAGCUCUGAGGUUCUGGCUGUGUGGUCUCAGGGGGUCCUGGAAAGAUGGGAAGUCAGGGUGAGCAGGCUCCAAGCUUAGUCUAGAAGAUCUUGGAGUAAGGAGUGGGUACAGGCCUCACCCCUGUGCCUGCCUUAAACCAUCCCAACCUUCCCAAGAAGAGCUGGGGCAGAGCCUGGCUCUUGGACUGGGAACUUGCCCAGAGACCAGCUGACUUUUCAUUUUGCAGUCAAGGAUGCAGAAGCUAGGGAACAGAGAGAAUCCCAGGCCCUGUAGCCAUAACAACUCCACCUCUCUGUCAGCCCUUCCCACCACCCUUGCUCUGAAGUCCCAGCAGCCAGGCAAAAGGGUGUGUCCCAAUUCUACGUCACAGAAAGAGAAACUGUGGACCAUGGAGCUGGUCCAGUAGGCUCUCUAGCUUCUCCCUCAGGACCCUGUGUCAUCCUGGGCCACAAGUCAGCAAACCAUCAUUGGGACAUCAACCCAGUGAACCAUGGGUUUGGGGUCAGGCAGUUGCUUAUGACUAAUUCUUAUGUCCAAGGUAUUGAGCUGGUCUUGGGAAAAUGACAAAAUAUGUGUUUUCCUGACUGUCUGCUGCAGCCUCUGGCUCUGAGGAACACCCCCAGCUCCAUCUCACCCCUCAUAAUACUCCUCAGCUCCAGGCUUACCUCUGCUCAGAGUUAGUUGUAUCUUAGAAAUGACUGACGGAGACUUCAUAAAUGGGACUGUGUUGUUUGAAUGCGGUUUAUUUGUCUUAAACUCACAUUGAUAUUUAAAUGGCAUUAGAAGACAGUAAGAGAUGGGACCUUUAAGGGUAAUUAGGGCUCCACUCUCAAGAAUCAUCCACAUGAUCAAUGGAUUAUCUCAAGACCAGUGGUUCUUAACCUUCCUAAUGCUGUAGCCCUUCAAUACAGUUCCAUGUGUUGUAGUGACCAGCCCCCAGUCAUAAAAUUAUUUUUGUGCUUACUUUAUAACUGUAAUUUUGCUACUGUUAUGAAUCAUAAUGUAAAUAUCUGUGUUUCUGAUGGUCUUAGGCGACCCCUGUGAAACGGCCAAAAGGUGUCAUGACAUACAGGCUGAGAACUGCUAGGGUUGAAUCUGCUUAUAUCAGCCACCUUGGCUAGGUCUCUGACCCCAUAAUGUCCUGUGCUACCUCAUGGCUAUUCCAGCAAAAAAA
This 3930-nucleotide long non-coding RNA is filed under the name Cricetulus griseus (Chinese hamster). RNAcentral describes it as "lncRNA (ENSCGRG00015041094.1)". Lineage: Eukaryota; Metazoa; Chordata; Mammalia; Rodentia; Cricetidae. The record is from RNAcentral.